CAUCACUACUCCUUCUUGCUUCCUUUUCGUUGCACUAUGUAAUGAAAGUACAUCAUGUACAUGUUACCGUACAGUGCGAUACUUUGAUCAAGACCACUUGCCGGGUUUGGUACACGCAGUAAUAGUGCCUACUACUAC
RNAcentral lists this small RNA (138 nucleotides) under Cryptococcus neoformans H99. RNAcentral describes it as "Cryptococcus neoformans var. grubii H99 hypothetical RNA". Lineage: Eukaryota; Fungi; Basidiomycota; Tremellomycetes; Tremellales; Cryptococcaceae. The record is from RNAcentral.